UACGUAGGCAGCGAGCGUUGUUCGGAAUUACUGGGCGUAAAGGGUGUGUAGGCGGUGCUGCGAGUCUGUUGUGAAAUCUCCCGGCUUAACUGGGAGGGUGCAGCGGAAACUAGAGUGCUAGAGGGUGGGAGAGGUAAGCGGAAUUCCUGGUGUAGCGGUGAAAUGCGUAGAUAUCAGGAGGAACACCUGUGGUGUAGACAGCGUACUGGACCAUUUCUGACGCUGAGACACGAAAGCGGGGGUAGCAAACAGG
Molecule: ribosomal RNA, 253 nt
Filed under: uncultured bacterium
Lineage: Bacteria
Description: partial 16S ribosomal RNA
Rfam family: Bacterial small subunit ribosomal RNA
Source: RNAcentral